UGGGGACAAGUCCGGUUCAGUUUAGCGGCUCUGUGGCCUCUUAAGAACAAGUCAAAGUGGCCCAACCCAGUCAGUUAAGACACUUAGUGCGCAGAUCACACAUCCAGGGUGAAAAACAACCCCGUUGGCAUAGAGUGUUCUGUAAACACCCAUGCAAUUAGUGUGUAUAUUUCUGGCUAAUAAGUACUGGUACCCUCUUGAGCCACUCAUGCACCUUAGGUGGACUUAUCCCUUGUGCAUCCAGCGCUGUAAUAAAAAUAAUGUGUGCUUCUUAAUACUACAUUGGUUCUAGGGGGUUUUAUUCCCCAUUUUCAGCGGCACUGUGGAGGCUUGUCCUGUGCCACAUUGCCUUGUGAGGGUGUCGGGGCCGUGGACUGGAGUUGGAUCCAAUCUCAGCCAAAUUCCAUGUUUUUUGCCCCAGCUAUGUGAUCUCGGAGAAAGGACACAGAAUUUGGAAGGAAGUUUUACGAGCACAGCAAAUCAUAUUCCAUGAAGAAACUCCUAUAACAAAUACAGGUCCAGAGUUUGUCCUAUCCCUAGAGCUCGCUGCAGGGAAGAGAAAAGUCCUGGAAGUCACAGGCUGUAGCUCCUUGCUGUCUGCUUGAGAGAGCUCAAACUUUGGGAUCGCAGGCCCAGAGGGCCUCUCUCAGGAGCAGAUGAAUAGCAGUGACAGUGGCAAAGCUCCGGCUGUCCAAAGCUGGUUCCAGGCACGGAAAAUUCCUCUGUGUGAGAUUCCAAGGUGAGACAGCCCAUCUCUGUAAUGUCCUGCUACCUUCACGACAUGAAGAUGUAUUCAACAAGCAGAAAAGACUAUGAAAUAUGCUUAAAAAUUUGAAAAGAGAAAUAUUUUUUUUCACAAACGCUGAAUCUUAAAAUCUGAUUGUUGCCUUGACAGAGUUUACAAAUAUAAACCCAUUUGUUUU
Long non-coding RNA from Pipra filicauda (Wire-tailed manakin), 923 nucleotides. RefSeq lists it as uncharacterized. Lineage: Eukaryota; Metazoa; Chordata; Aves; Passeriformes; Pipridae. The record is from RefSeq and is a predicted model, not a curated record. The transcript has 2 exons.